RNAcentral lists this ribosomal RNA (425 nucleotides) under uncultured bacterium. RNAcentral's name for it is "bacterial SSU rRNA". It matches the Rfam family "Bacterial small subunit ribosomal RNA", at positions 355 to 772 of the family's 1533-position model. The record is from RNAcentral.
UGGGGAAUUUUGGACAAUGGGCGCAAGCCUGAUCCAGCCAUGCCGCGUGAGUGAAGAAGGCCUUCGGGUUGUAAAGCUCUUUCAGUCGGGAAGAAACGGGGUGCUCUAACAUAGCGCCUUACUGACGGUACCGACAGAAGAAGCACCGGCUAACUACGUGCCAGCAGCCGCGGUAAUACGUAGGGUGCGAGCGUUAAUCGGAAUUACUGGGCGUAAAGCGUGCGCAGGCGGUUGUGUAAGACAGGUGUGAAAUCCCCGGGCUUAACCUGGGAAUGGCGCUUGUGACUGCACGGCUAGAGUACGGCAGAGGGGGGUGGAAUUCCACGUGUAGCAGUGAAAUGCGUAGAGAUGUGGAGGAACACCGAUGGCGAAGGCAGCCCCCUGGGCCGAUACUGACGCUCAUGCACGAAAGCGUGGGGAGCAAA